CUGGGUGUGCUUUACGGACAAGCGCACGACAAUGACGUAGAGAGCAUAGCAACCACCCUGGGAGGGCCUAUGAGCCAUAACAACCAGUUGACCAAUCAACACAGGGCAAGCCCUCCAAGCCUGGAGGCACACCAAUCCUGAGCCUGUGCGUACCCCUAGACACUCCCCUUACGCUGCCCUAUAAGAUCUUUUGGGAGCCCGUUGGAGCCGUCUUUUUCUAGCCGUCUGCCAUGGCGGGUGGGUGAAAGACCCGAGCUAACAUGGGGUUAGUUCGUUAAAUUACAAUAAAGCCUCGUGCAGUUUGCAGCAAGCUCUCGAAUCCGCCUGGUGAUUGGGGUGACCGCGAACCUGGCCUGAGACCCCGGAUACUUGAGUUUUCGGGGGUCUAACAUUUUGGGGGCUCGUCCGCGAUUUGCGACCACCCUUCACCUGAGUGGAUUCGAUCUUGGAGAUGCGCCGGAGGACAGACUGCCACUCUGAGGACACCCAGGACCCAAGAGGUAUGGACGCGGGCCAAGGACACUUGGACCCGCCUCAGUUAGCCGCCAGGUUCUGCCGCCGUCUUCCCGGCGCCAUUGCCUUAUGAGCAGCGUGGGCGGAUUGGGUUGGCGUCUAUUCUUUCCUGUCUAUUCAGGAUCCACCACAACACCCCCUUUCUAUUCCCACCUGAGGGUCUAUGAGGCAUGCCCAGUAGGGCUGUUUCUGCCCCAGCGGCUGUCUCGGGUGUUUCCCUGCUCUGAGGGAAUAUGGCUACAAGGCCACCAUCUACUACUCAUCUUUCUGUGCUCCACACACAUGGUAUGCAGGGGGGGCCGCAGGAGUCUUUCCCACCCCUGGAUUGGCCAAGGGUCUGGGGUUACCAGCAGCACCCCCACCCCAGGUCUCUCUGCCUUGAGCACAUGGAGCUUGAGCGUAUAAACUUAUCUGGCCUGAUCCGGACAUCUAAAUGGCCUUAAAGUUAUUAAGAACUAUAAAAGGGACUUUGACAAAAUUUUUAUGUUAACUAAAAAAUAAAAAAAAAAUGUAAAAAACUUAAAUAAUAAAAAAAAAUUGUCUAAAAAUGUCUAAGAAAGUCAAAAAAAUAAAAUAAAAGGUUAAAGAGAGUUAAAACAAAUGGUAAAAGUUAUAGAGGGUUAAAAUAAGUUAUAGAAGGUCAGAGAAAAGUUGUCGAAGGUCAGAGAAAAGGUUGUUACAAAUUAAAAAAAUGUAAACUGUGCUAUGGUUUCUCAUGUCUACAAAUAAAUUUUAAAAAUGGUAAUAUAAGU
Molecule: long non-coding RNA, 1265 nt
Filed under: Cricetulus griseus (Chinese hamster)
Lineage: Eukaryota; Metazoa; Chordata; Mammalia; Rodentia; Cricetidae
Description: lncRNA (ENSCGRG00015042368.1)
Source: RNAcentral